GGAAGGAUCAUUGACGCGAUAAAAAAAAAAAAAAAAAAAACACACACACACUUGUUUGUUUUUUUUUUUUUUUUUUUUUUUUUAAACCCCCCCUUUUUAAAAAACUGUUGUGUCGUUGGGAGAGAGAGAGAAGAGAGAGAAGAGAGAAUUGAAAGAUUUCCUCCUCCUCCUUUUUUUCUCUCCCAGAGACAUGAAAAAAACCAAACGCUUAGGCAACCCUCCUCCCCUGCUGAAGGGAAAAGAAAGCCCCUGCGAAAUUGAAGAAAAAGAGAGACCUUUGGUCAAAAGAAAAGAAACCCGAGACGACUCUUGACGACGGAUGUCUCGGCUCUCACAAGGAUGAAGAACGCGGCGAAACGCGACACGUGGUGCGAAUCGCGGAGAUCAGCGAGUCAUCGAGUCUUCGAACGCAGCCCGCGCCCUCGGCCUGACCGGGGGCGCGCCCGCCCGAGCGUCGCCGAAACGCAAUUCGAGCCCUUUUUAUUUAAGGGCGCGGAACGCCCAGGCUUUUGUCGACCGAUGAUAAAUUGAAUUGGUCGUCGCCUGAGAUAUAGCGCGCGAGCAAACCCCGCAGUUGUAGACAACAAGGGGCGGUGAUGAAUGAAAAGUAGGUAGCUGGAUUCGAUCCUUUUUUCACUACUAUCUUUUCUUCUUCCUGCAAUGGCAAUGAGGUAGGAGGAAAAUGCAAGUUUUCUUUUCGAUCGAAAUUGCUUCUGCAUUGUGGAGAGGAAAAGAAGUUGAUUGAAGGUCUUUUCAGAUUUUUUCCUCUUUUUUUUAUUCAGCACCCGCCAUCUGGAUGACAGAUGGUCGUGGUUCCUCUUGUUGUUUUUUUUUACGAUUGCCUUUUAGUGAGGGUUUUUUUGGCGCAGCGCCGGAGAGAAUCCAAUAGAGAGGUCUCUUUUUUUUUUUAAAAGAGGCGAGAGGGUACACCGGAGAUUUUUCUCGGGAAAGAAAAAAAAAUUUUUCUUUCUUCUUUCCCGCACCGGCCGACCUCGGGUCGGGCGACAUCACCCGCCGAACUUAAGCAUAUCACUAAGCGGAGGAGAAGAAACCAACUGGGAUCCCCUCGGUAACGGCGAGCGAAGAGGGGAGAGCUCAGGCCCGUAAUCUGGAUGCCCAUCCGCGGUGUCCCGAAUUGUGGUCUCGAGGCGGUCCGUCGCCGGGGCUGUACCUGGGUGCGAGAUCCCCUGGAACGGGGUGCCGCGGAGGGUGAGAGCCCCGUGCGCGUCCAGGCCGGGAAGGCGACGAUACAGCCCCUCCCCUUCAGGGGAGCGUCGGGCCGCCCCAGAGUCGGACUGCCCGGGAGCGCAGUCCGAAGUGGGUGGUGGACCCCAUCUAAAGCUAAAUAUUGGUGAGAGACCGAUAGCGAACAAGUACCGUGAGGGAAAGAUGAAAAGAACUCUGAGAAGAGAGUUAAAAGCGCCUGAAAUCGUCAGGAGGGAAGCGUUCGAGGUCAGCGGGUCGCCUCGGAACCCUCUCGGGAGCGUUUGGCGGUUCGACGACCGGGGGACGGCCGAGCGAGCCUUCGGGUUUUGCCACCGUUCUCAGGCCAGCGGAUCGUCCGUUUCAACGAGGGUUUCGAGGCGGGCCGGCGCCGGCUCGAUCGGCGGGAGGUCGGCUGUGAGGGAGGCGCGGCAGGCUCGAGGCCUUGGUGUUUCGGUCUGCCGACGCCCCUCACGGUUCGCGCCGUCGAUCGGGCCGAGGAAGCAAAACCGCACGGGCCCGCGCCUUCUUCGGAGGGCGAGGCGGAUCCUAUUUCCGAUUGAGGAACCGGCGGUGAGGGUCGGGAACCGACGCUCAUCGGCGCUCUUUUAUCUCGAGGUAGGCCGUCCCUCAGCGUGGCCGGCGGCGCCGACGGAAUGGCCCCGACCGACCCGUCUUGAAACACGGACCAAGGAGUCCGACGCGCGCGCGAGCGUUAAGGUGAACGAAACCUAAGGACGCGGAGCGAAAGCAAAGCGGUACAAUCCCACGGGAUAGUACCCGAGGUGGGAAGACUUUUGACUUAGCGUCAAAGUCGGCACCAUCGGCCGAUCCGGAUCUCUUCAGAAGGAUUCGAGCGGGAGCGCGCUCGUCGGGACCCGAAAGAUCGCGAACUAUGGGCGGCCAGGAUGAAGCCAGAGGAAACUCUGGUGGAGGUCCGAAGCGGUACUGACGUGCAAAUCGUUCGUCCGAGCUGCCUAUAGGGGCGAAAGACUAAUCGAGCGAUCUAGUAGCUGGUUCCCUC
This 2227-nucleotide unclassified non-coding RNA is filed under the name uncultured fungus. RNAcentral's name for it is "sequence contains 18S rRNA gene, ITS1, 5.8S rRNA gene, ITS2, 28S rRNA gene". The stretch from base 988 to 2227 matches the Rfam family "Eukaryotic large subunit ribosomal RNA", at positions 1 to 961 of the family's 3401-position model. The record is from RNAcentral. Lineage: Eukaryota; Fungi.